UUGUUAAGGUAAACAUAAGAUUGUAUUAAAAUUUGAGGUGGAUACGAGUUCGGAAAAUGUUAUGUGGUAUUCAAACUUCAAUGUUUGACUUGAACUAUAUGAAACUAUAUAAGAGAUGUAUCCAUUUAUGAACCAUGUAUAGUCCCACUUUAUUAAAAUCAUUUGAAACUUUUAUGGAAAGCUUAUGGACCUAUAAUAUGUU
Molecule: long non-coding RNA, 202 nt
Filed under: Setaria viridis
Lineage: Eukaryota; Viridiplantae; Streptophyta; Magnoliopsida; Poales; Poaceae
Description: long non-coding RNA (SVIR_LNC009653)
Source: RNAcentral